This is a long non-coding RNA of Sebastes umbrosus (honeycomb rockfish), 472 nucleotides long. RefSeq lists it as uncharacterized. The record is from RefSeq and is a predicted model, not a curated record. NCBI's taxonomy places the organism in Eukaryota, Metazoa, Chordata, Actinopteri, Perciformes, Sebastidae. The transcript is spliced from 2 exons.
GACUCGUGGGUACCCAUAGAACCCAUUUUCAGUCAUAUAUCUGGAGGUCAGAGGUCAAGGGACCCCUUUGAAUAUGGCCAUGCCAGUUUCUCCUCACCAAAAUGUUGCCCAACUUUAGAGCAUUAUUUCGCCUCCUUCCCAGCAACCUAACAUGACAUGGAUGUUACCAAUACAACUGCUACGACCUCUGAAACACAGAAUAGCGAUUGAUACUUGCCGCCCGUGUAUUGAUACAAUAUUGCCACGCAAAAAAUUGCGAUACUAUUCUGUAUCGAUUUUUUUCCCCCCACCUCUAGCACACGAGUGGUCCAGGACCACGAUCACGGCUUGACAAAACCCAUCCGCCUGCCACCUAAAACAAGGAAAAUGAAAAUGAAACCAUUACAGCCAUGCAUACAUGGCUCAAACAGUUCAACUUUGUGUUAAGCGAUCAAGCUAUGGAACAGAUACCGUGCCUACUGGGAAAAAAAAA